GUGCACGCUGGCGGUAGGCCUAACACAUGCCAGUCGAACGGCAGCACAGUAAGAGCUUGCUCUUACGGGUGGCGAGUGGCGGACGGGUGAGGAAUACAUCGGAAUCUACUUUUUCGUGGGGGAUAACGUAGGGAAACUUACGCUAAUACCGCAUACGACCUACGGGUGAAAGCAGGGGAUCUUCGGACCUUGCGCGAUUGAAUGAGCCGAUGUCGGAUCAGCUAGUUGGCGGGGUAAAGGCCCACCAAGGCGACGAUCCGUAGCUGGUCUGAGAGGAUGAUCAGCCACACUGGAACUGAGACACGGUCCAGACUCCUACGGGAGGCAGCAGUGGGGAAUAUUGGACAAUGGGCGCAAGCCUGAUCCAGCCAUACCGCGUGGGUGAAGAAGGCCUUCGGGUUGUAAAGCCCUUUUGUUGGGAAAGAAAAGCAGCAGGUUAAUACCCCGCUGUUCUGACGGUACCCAAAGAAUAAGCACCGGCUAACUUCGUG
Molecule: ribosomal RNA, 491 nt
Filed under: uncultured bacterium
Lineage: Bacteria
Description: partial 16S ribosomal RNA
Rfam family: Bacterial small subunit ribosomal RNA
Source: RNAcentral